UAUUCAAUUCUAAACAAGCUAUCUAUGUAUGAAAAUUGGCAGACUAUAGCUAAGGGUAGUAGUUUAGUUGCCGUAAAUCAUCCUGCCAUCUUUUACAUUUUCUGCCUCGUAUAUGCAAUAACAGUGCAACCUCUAUACAGAACUGGUCUUCUACAAAUGCCUUGCCAUCAAAACGAAUGCAGUUUCUGUCCCUCCAUAUCAGUGCUACAGCAUUCACAAAGGCAGAAGCAGUGAUUGCUUUAUGCCAUAGUUUGCUCCUAGCUUUGCUACAGAUCCAUUGAAGUUCAUCUUCCCAUUUGCCAACUGUUCUUUUGUAUCCCAACCAGCAGCAUAUUCUAGUCCAUACUCGAUUGGUGAUUUGGCAAUCAAAGUACAAGUGCUCAAAGUUCUCAGCAUGCUGCUU
RNAcentral lists this long non-coding RNA (403 nucleotides) under Nicotiana benthamiana. RNAcentral describes it as "long non-coding RNA (NBEN_LNC032676)". The record is from RNAcentral. Lineage: Eukaryota; Viridiplantae; Streptophyta; Magnoliopsida; Solanales; Solanaceae.